UGGCGGCGUGCCUAAUACAUGCAAGUCGAGCGAAGCGAUUUCAAGGAAGUUUUCGGACGGAAUUGAAAUUGACUUAGCGGCGGACGGGUGAGUAACGCGUGGGUAACCUGCCUCAUACAGGGGGAUAACAGUCGGAAACGACUGCUAAUACCGCAUAAGCACACAGUGCCGCAUGGUACAGUGUGAAAAACUCCGGUGGUAUGAGAUGGACCCGCGUCUGAUUAGGUAGUUGGUGAGGUAACGGCCCACCAAGCCGACGAUCAGUAGCCGACCUGAGAGGGUGACCGGCCACAUUGGGACUGAGACACGGCCCAAACUCCUACGGGAGGCAGCAGUGGGGAAUAUUGGACAAUGGGGGAAACCCUGAUCCAGCGACGCCGCGUGAGUGA
RNAcentral lists this ribosomal RNA (389 nucleotides) under uncultured bacterium. RNAcentral describes it as "bacterial SSU rRNA". It matches the Rfam family "Bacterial small subunit ribosomal RNA", at positions 37 to 408 of the family's 1533-position model. The record is from RNAcentral.